Molecule: microRNA, 23 nt
Filed under: Tetranychus urticae (two-spotted spider mite)
Lineage: Eukaryota; Metazoa; Arthropoda; Arachnida; Trombidiformes; Tetranychidae
Description: tur-miR-5728-2-5p
Source: miRBase by way of RNAcentral
ACACCCGUACGAGUGACAGAAUA